This 484-nucleotide ribosomal RNA is filed under the name uncultured bacterium. RNAcentral describes it as "partial 16S ribosomal RNA". It matches the Rfam family "Bacterial small subunit ribosomal RNA", at positions 30 to 507 of the family's 1533-position model. The record is from RNAcentral.
AUUGAACGCUGGCGGCAGGCCUAACGCAUGCAAGUCGAGCGGAUGAAGGGAGCUUGCUCCUGGAUUCAGCGGCGGACGGGUGAGUAAUGCCUAGGAAUCUGCCUGGUAGUGGGGGAUAACGUCCGGAAACGGGCGCUAAUACCGCAUACGUCCUGAGGGAGAAAGUGGGGGAUCUUCGGACCUCACGCUAUCAGAUGAGCCUAGGUCGGAUUAGCUAGUUGGUGGGGUAAAGGCCUACCAAGGCGACGAUCCGUAACUGGUCUGAGAGGAUGAUCAGUCACACUGGAACUGAGACACGGUCCAGACUCCUACGGGAGGCAGCAGUGGGGAAUAUUGGACAAUGGGCGAAAGCCUGAUCCAGCCAUGCCGCGUGUGUGAAGAAGGUCUUCGGAUUGUAAAGCACUUUAAGUUGGGAGGAAGGGCAGUAAGUUAAUACCUUGCUGUUUUGACGGUACCAACAGAAUAAGCACCGGCUAACUUCGUG